UACGUAGGGGGCGAGCGUUGUCCGGAUUUAUUGGGCGUAAAGAGCGUGUAGGCGGCUUGGCAAGUCCGCUGUGAAAACUCGAGGCUCAACCUCGAGACGUCGGUGGAAACUGCCUGGCUAGAGUCCGGAAGAGGAGAGUGGAAUUCCUGGUGUAGCGGUGAAAUGCGCAGAUAUCAGGAAGAACACCCGUGGCUAAGGCGGCUCUCUAGUACGGUACUGACGCUGAGACGCGAAAGCGUGGGGAGCGAACAGG
Molecule: ribosomal RNA, 253 nt
Filed under: uncultured bacterium
Lineage: Bacteria
Description: partial 16S ribosomal RNA
Rfam family: Bacterial small subunit ribosomal RNA
Source: RNAcentral